Molecule: small RNA, 524 nt
Filed under: Pan troglodytes (chimpanzee)
Lineage: Eukaryota; Metazoa; Chordata; Mammalia; Primates; Hominidae
Description: processed transcript
Source: RNAcentral
GUUGCUUCUGCGGAAAGGUGGUAGUUAAGAAUUUGUAAAGGCCAGGGAACUAGCUACGAUUCUCUCAGCGGUCUCUCUUCUCCUGAAGUUUGAAAUGCUUUAUCUCAUCGGCUUGGGCCUGGGAGAUGCCAAGGACAUCACAGUCAAGGGCCUGGAAGUUGUUAGACGCUGCAGUCGAGUGUAUCUGGAAGCCUACACCUCAGUCCUGACUGUAGGGAAGGAAGCCUUGGAAGAGUUUUAUGGAAGAAAAUUGGUUGUUGCUGAUAGAGAAGAAGUGGAACAAGAAGCAGAUAAUAUUUUAAAGGAUGCUGAUAUCAGUGAUGUUGCAUUCCUUGUGGUUGGUGAUCCAUUUGGGGCUACAACACACAGUGAUCUUGUUCUAAGAGCAACAAAGCUGGGAAUUCCUUAUAGAGUUAUUCACAAUGCCUCCAUAAUGAAUGCUGUAGGCUGCUGUGGUUUACAGGUAAUGCAACAAAGGAGGUUUUUCAGUGGAAUUAAACAAAAAUGUUUUAUUUUUCCACAAA